Molecule: ribosomal RNA, 293 nt
Filed under: uncultured microorganism
Description: partial 16S ribosomal RNA
Rfam family: Bacterial small subunit ribosomal RNA
Source: RNAcentral
GUGCCAGCAGCCGCGGUAAUACGUAGGUGGCAAGCGUUGUCCGGAAUUAUUGGGCGUAAAGCGCGCGCAGGCGGUCCUUUAAGUCUGAUGUGAAAGCCCACGGCUCAACCGUGGAGGGUCAUUGGAAACUGGGGGACUUGAGUGCAGAAGAGGAGAGCGGAAUUCCACGUGUAGCGGUGAAAUGCGUAGAGAUGUGGAGGAACACCAGUGGCGAAGGCGGCUCUCUGGUCUGUAACUGACGCUGAGGCGCGAAAGCGUGGGGAGCAAACAGGAUUAGAUACCCCUGGUAGUCC